UUCGGUCAAAUCAUGUGGCAUUCGAGUGGAGGACGGGUGAGUAACGCGUGGGUAACCUGCCUUACACAGGGGGAUAACACCUGGAAACAGGUGCUAAUACCGCAUAAGCGCACAGGGCCGCAUGGCCCGGUGUGAAAAACUCCGGUGGUGUAAGAUGGACCCGCGUCUGAUUAGCUUGUUGGCGGGGUAGGGGCCCACCAAGGCGACGAUCAGUAGCCGGCCUGAGAGGGUGGACGGCCACAUUGGGACUGAGACACGGCCCAAACUCCUACGGGAGGCAGCAGUGGGGGAUAUUGGACAAUGGGGGAAACCCUGAUCCAGCGACGCCGCGUGAGUGAAGAAGUAUUUCGGUAUGUAAAGCUCUGUCAGCAGGGAAGAAAGAAAUGACGGUACCUGACCAAGAAGCCCCGGCUAACUACGUGCCAGCAGCCGCGGUAAUACGUAGGGGGCAAGCGUUAUCCGGAAUUACUGGGUGUAAAGGGAGCGUAGACGGUGAUGCAAGUCUGGAGUGAAAGGCGGGGGCCCAACCCCCGGACUGCUCUGGAAACUGUGUAACUUGAGUGCAGGAGAGGUAAGCGGAAUUCCUAGUGUAGCGGUGAAAUGCGUAGAUAUUAGGAGGAACACCAGUGGCGAAGGCGGCUUACUGGACUGUAACUGACGUUGAGGCUCGAAAGCGUGGGGAGCAAACAGGAUUAGAUACCCUGGUAGUCCACGCCGUAAACGAUGAUUAAUAGGUGUCGGUGGGGUAGGGACCCUCCGGGUGCCGCAGCAAACACAGUAAGUAAUCCACCUGGGGAGUACGUUCGCAAGAAUGUAACUCAAAGGAAUUGACGGGGACCCGCACAAGCGGUGGAGCAUGUGGUUUAAUCCGAAGCAACGCGAAGAACCUUACCAAGUCUUGACAUCUGGAUGACAGGGACGUAACGGUCCCCUUACUUCGGUACAUCCAAGACAGGUGGUGCAUGGUUGUCGUCAGCUCGUGUCGUGAGAUGUUGGGUUAAGUCCCGCAACGAGCGCAACCCUUAUCUUCAGUAGCCAGCAGGUAAAGCCGGGCACUCUGGAGAGACUGCCGGGGAUAACCCGGAGGAAGGUGGGGAUGACGUCAAAUCAUCAUGCCCCUUAUGAUUUGGGCUACACACGUGCUACAAUGGCGUAAACAGAGGGAAGCGAGCCCGCGAGGGGGAGCAAAUCCCAAAAAUAACGUCCCAGUUCGGAUUGUAGUCUGCAACCCGACUACAUGAAGCUGGAAUCGCUAGUAAUCGCGGAUCAGAAUGCCGCGGUGAAUACGUUCCCGGGUCUUGUACACACCGCCCGUCA
Molecule: ribosomal RNA, 1317 nt
Filed under: uncultured bacterium
Lineage: Bacteria
Description: bacterial SSU rRNA
Rfam family: Bacterial small subunit ribosomal RNA
Source: RNAcentral